This is a non-coding RNA of Pteropus alecto (black flying fox), 73 nucleotides long. Lineage: Eukaryota; Metazoa; Chordata; Mammalia; Chiroptera; Pteropodidae. The record is from Rfam.
GGUUCCAUAGGGUAGCAGUUAGCGCAUCUGCUUUACACGCAGAAGAUCCUGGGUUCAUGCCCCAGUGGAGCCA